CUAGGAGCUCAAAGGGGAACUCAAAUUGGCUUGGAAGGACCCAAUUCCAUCACCCCACCCCAUCCACAUAAAGGACCAUGUCCUCUUGCUCACCAUCUUUACAAAACUUCCAGCAGGCCAUAGGGUUUGACAUGGAUCAAGCACAGCUCUGUGACUCAGGUUCAGGGAAGAGGUGGGUAGGAGAGACAUGGAACUGGUGAAGGAAGACAGGAAAGGAAAUGUUUCAAGGGUAAUAUCUGGGGGAAUGAAGGUGAGUGGAAUGAGAUUAUAGAUGAGAGGCAGGAAAAGGGAAACAAACAGGAGCAGAUAGAGAAAAGGCAAUGGGAGAAGAGCAAAGGUCUUUGCUUCCCCAAUUUGCUCGUUAUUCCCAUACCAUCUGAGCUCAUUUUCACCACCUCCUAAAAGUACUCUUUGAAAAAAGGAAAUUAGCUGUGUAUGUUGGAUUUUGGUGUGGUGGUGGUAUUUUCCCUCCUAUAGCAUGCAACACACCACAGUAUAGGGAGUUUUCUUGUUUGUUGGACCCCAUUUGCAUUAUAUCCAGGCAUGCACACAGCCAAAGAAAUCAUUAAGCAUUACUGGAAAUGAGAAAAAGGCAUUUCCCUGUAUUGAUUAUGUAAUUCAUCUUAUAAGGUGGGGGAAAGGGAAGUUGCAGGGCAUCAUAUGUGAUUUAAGUAGCUCGAAAGGUUAGACAAAUCAUGAGCAGGAAUUCAUUAACUUCUUUGAACAAUGAGUGUUCCAAGCAAGAAAAUCAAAGGAGAUAUUAGACACAAAGAAACUAUUUGCCUUGGCAGUGCAAGUAAAGCGACAAAGAUAAUUCUCAAAGCCAAUGGUAAUGAUGCUUUCUUCGGAAAUGAACUGGAUGCUAUCUUCAACAGAAGGCGCACAGUGCUGAUUUCUUCUUUAGUUAAAAGAGGAGGGGGAGGAGAACAAAUGUUAGCAAAAAACCCAACAACAACUACCCAAAUACAUUUUUAGCAUCAUUCCAGGCUCUGGAGAUAUGUAUUAAAGUUCUGUUUAGGUCUAGGCAGUACACAAAAGGGGUUUGGGGGGACUUAGUGAAAGACGAACAGCCAGUGUUACAGUUGAAACUAAUUAAGAUAAAGAUGGUCUGAAAAUAGGUCUUAUAAAUAUUCUUUUGGCUUUUGAUAUGCCAGUGACUGGGACAAAAUAUGUCACUUUCUGGCAUUGCUUUAAUUGAAAUAUUUGGCCAUUACCCACAAAGAAAUGAAAGAGCCUCAGAAAUGCAAGGGUCUGGGUUCCAACACAUACCCAGCAUACCUAUUUUAUUUUAUUUUAUUUUAUUUUAUUUUAUUUUAUUUUAGUGAGUGUUAAGCAGAUUUACUCCUUAGCUGUGGCACUUCAGUGGAUGAUUAUGACAUCAAAGUGUGACAGACAGUGAUUAUGUUCUGCAGGGGGAGAAGGAGGAUAAAAACAGACAAUUAAUUCCCAUUGCUUAAAGGGACAUUAUCUUGGGAUUGUGCUUUUUUUAAAAAACAAUAAUAUUCUGAAUCCUUAAAGAAAAUGAAGAAGAAGUAAUUUAUCUGUCCUGCCUUGUUUCAAGAUUUUUAGAAUUAAGCUUCUUUCUUCUGGAAAUGACUUUUAAUUUGUCUUUUGACUUCAGUUUUUUUUUAUGUAAUGAAUUUUGUUUUUCUCUUUCAGAACUUUACUUAAAUCAGCCCCUGGAAUAUUUUUCAUUCAGGGAUUUCAGCACUUUGUGCUUUUCUGCAUACCUAUCACUUGCUUUCCUUUUACUUAGUCCGUGUACAAUUCUGUCCUCCUUCAUAUGAUCUUUCUAGAAGAAAUCUAUAGCCAUUUUAUUAAAAGAAAUCAGAUACUAUUUUAUUAAUUUAAAACUUUUCUUUUAUGCUCUUCAUUGCAAAAUGCAUUUCCUGAGAAAUGAACAUCAAAUCUGGAUAUAUAAUACAAGUAGCAAAAACAAGGCAGGUAAUCACUACCAGUGAACUAAAUGAACAUUGACACUGGCACACUAAAUUCUUCCCAAAGCCUAUGCAAAUAACUUUGUCUUCAGCUGGUUUCAAAGGGUUAAAAGUGUAGGUGCCAGCCAUUAUUUCAAAGGACAUGCAGUUCCAGAGUUAGGGUGCCACCACUGAGAAGGCUAUCCUUCACAUUAAUGUAUUGUCAGUCUUGGCAGAGCUAUAAAAACCGGACAAUCUUUUGUUUGUUUUGUUUUGUUUUGUUUUUAAGGCAUACUCUCUGGUAUCCAAGCCCAAAACUUUUUAGACCUUUCUGCGUCAACACAAAUACCAUGAAGCAGGCUCAGUAACAUAUACACAGCCACUGCAGUUCUUUCAGAACUGGUGUAAUAUGUUCAUGGCAGACACUCCUCAGAGAAACCUAGCUAGCUGCCACAUUCUGCACUAGUUGUAGCUUCCAAGCUGACUUCAAGGGCAACCCCAUGCAGAAUGGAUUACAAUAGUCCAGUCUUGAGGUUACCAAUGAAGAAAUCAUUGCAUCAACAUUCUACCUGUCCAGGAACAAUUGUACCUGGCAAACCAGCUGGACUGUUUAUAGGCUUUCCUUGCCAUGGAUGCCUCUUGAAACUCCAGUGACAAUGCUGGCUCUAUGAGCAGCCACAUACUGUAGAUGUUCCUUCAGAGGAAGUGCAAGCCCAUUCACAACAGUUAACCUUUCCAUUCCUGGAUCUGGGAAACCUCUUCCUUAUCAGGAUUCAGCUUCAACCUUUUGGCUCUCAUCCAGCCCACUACUGAAUCUAAGCACUAGUCCAAGAAGAACAUUUUAUAAAGCGAUAGAUAUAGUUAGUGACAAUGGUUUCAGGCCAGAGUAAUCCAUCCACAAAUAGAAAGAUUCCUUAUGUUUGUAAAAGCGUACUGCAAUCUAGCAGAACCACCCACUCACAGAACAGGGAGAGGAAUUGAUUUCUUAUUUUUCUGUCUGCCUUCAAUCUGCCCUAUGCCAUGUCUCACACUGUUCCAGAGAAUUCUUCCAACCCACCAGACAACAUUUCCUGGGCUGCAGGAAAAAUUCAGACUCUUCACUGAGUAGAACUGUAAUCACAGAAUCUCUGUAUUCAAUGCAUAAUGUACAUCUAAGUAACAAAUGAAAUUCUGAGUCAGGUUGUUGUGGCUCACAAAAAUAUUAAUACCAAUUCUGUUUAUCCAGUGUCUCCCCAAGCUACCAUCACUUUUUAAGAAAUAACAAAUGCAAUCUUACAAUUAAACAAUGCCAGAUGUUAAAUUGAAAGCAUUUAUUUGGUUUUUAAUCAGAUAAUACAGUCACUUUGUCCCAUAAUAGGUACAACUUUAACUUGGGGAAUUUCCUUGGAGGAACAGCCUUGUUCUGAUGCCAUUUAUAUGACUACUGAGUGCUAGACAUCAAACAUGUACAGUUUACAAACAUGUAAACAUUUAUCUUUAUUUAUCUUUGGGCCAAAUUGAAAAGAGAGAAAUAGGAAUACAAUAAGCCUCCAAUAUUAAAUUCUCUCUAAUGGUAGAAAGAGGUGGGAAGAUUUAUUUAAAAGAAAACCCAGAACUUUGCACAAUUGUAUCAUAAGUAACUAUUGUAUGCAACAUGCAGGUUUUCAUCCAUUAUAGCUAAAUGAAUGGAUGAAAAAUGUGCUAAUUGUUUUCGGCAGUGUUUUUACAGAUGUCUUUAACUAGAGCAAUCUUUAUAUAGAAGAAAAAGAACCAUCAACAGUAGCACCUGAUAUAGCUACCACAAGGGAUUAUUUUUAUCAUUUUUGUGUUGACGUUUUCAUGUUUUUCAGAAAGACACAAUCUUCAAAGAAGAUUGGACUUAGGCAGGAAAGAGGAACUAUUGAUCAUUGUCUUGUGCUUGAUCAUUUGAUCCCUAAAUAUGCCUCUGGCUCUAAAAAGUUUUUAUUCUCAGCUCUUGUUGACUUAUCGCCGGCUUUUGAUUCUGUAUAUCAUGAUCAGUUAUGGGCAAAAUGGCAAUCUAACAUUGACAGGUGUCUCCUGAUUCAUAUUAGGGGCUUGUACAAGACGGGUCCCAAUGCUCAACUUACAAAGGAGAUUUCUGUUACAAGAGGUGUUUGCUAAUUGUCUAUUUGGUUUCUAGAUAACAACGCUAUUGAGGCG
Non-coding RNA from Podarcis lilfordi (Lilford's wall lizard), 4076 nucleotides. NCBI's taxonomy places the organism in Eukaryota, Metazoa, Chordata, Lepidosauria, Squamata, Lacertidae. The record is from the annotation of a GenBank genome assembly.